GAUGAACGCUGGCGGCGUGCCUAACACAUGCAAGUUGAGCGAUUUACUUCGGUAAAGAGCGGCGGACGGGUGAGUAACGCGUGGGUAACCUGCCUCAUACACAUGGAUAACAUACCGAAAGGUAUGCUAAUACAGGAUAAUAUAAGAGAUUCACAUGGAUUUUUUAUCAAAGCUCCGGCGGUAUGAGAUGGACCCGCGUCUGAUUAGCUAGUUGGUAAGGUAAUGGCUUACCAAGGCGACGAUCAGUAGCCGACCUGAGAGGGUAAUCGGCCACAUUGGAACUGAGACACGGUCCAAACGCCUACGGGAGGCAGCAGUGGGGAAUAUUGCACAAUGGGCGAAAGCCUGAUGCAGCAACGCCGCGUGAGUGAUGAAGGCCUUCGGGUCGUAAAACUCUGUCCUCAAGGAAGAUAAUGACGGUACUUGAGGAGGAAGCCCCGGCUAACUACGUGCCAGCAGCCGCCGUAA
Molecule: ribosomal RNA, 468 nt
Filed under: uncultured bacterium
Lineage: Bacteria
Description: partial 16S ribosomal RNA
Rfam family: Bacterial small subunit ribosomal RNA
Source: RNAcentral